UACAGAGGUCUCAAGCGUUGUUCGGAUUCAUUGGGCGUAAAGGGCUCGUAGGCGGCCAACUAAGUCAGACGUGAAAUCCCUCGGCUUAACCGGGGAACUGCGUCUGAUACUGGAUGGCUUGAGAUUGGGAGAGGGAUGCGGAAUUCCAGGUGUAGCGGUGAAAUGCGUAGAUAUCUGGAGGAACACCGGUGGCGAAGGCGGCAUCCUGGACCAACACUGACGCUGAGGAGCGAAAGCCAGGGGAGCAAACGGG
Molecule: ribosomal RNA, 253 nt
Filed under: uncultured bacterium
Lineage: Bacteria
Description: partial 16S ribosomal RNA
Rfam family: Bacterial small subunit ribosomal RNA
Source: RNAcentral